Molecule: unclassified non-coding RNA, 915 nt
Filed under: Utricularia nervosa
Lineage: Eukaryota; Viridiplantae; Streptophyta; Magnoliopsida; Lamiales; Lentibulariaceae
Description: partial contains tRNA-Leu (trnL) gene and trnL-trnF spacer region
Rfam family: Group I catalytic intron (bases 4-467)
About the family: Group I catalytic introns are large self-splicing ribozymes. They catalyse their own excision from mRNA, tRNA and rRNA precursors in a wide range of organisms.
Source: RNAcentral
ACGCUACGGACUUAAUUGGAUUGAGCCUUGGUAUGGAAACCUACUAAGUGAUAACUUUCAAAUUCAGGGAAACCCCGGAAUUAAAAAAAAUGGGCAAUCCUGAGCCAAAUCCUGUUUUAUCAAAAGAAAAGUUCAGAAACAGAAAAAAGGAUAGGUACAGAGACUCAAUGGAAGCUGUUCUAGUAAAUGGGUGCACUGGUAAAGGAAUCUUUCUACUGAAACGUAAGAAAGGGUCAAGGAUAAACCUAUCCAUUGAAUACUAUAUCAGAUGAUUAAGAAUGGCCUGAAUUUCUAGAUGUGUUUUUUUAUAUGAAAAAUAUAAGAAUUUGUCUGAAUUGAUUGAAUAUUGAAGAAAAAUAUAAUUUUUAGUGAUCAAACCAUUCACUCCAUAGUUCGAUAAACUUUUUCAAGAACUGAUCAAUCGGACAAGAAUAAAGAUAGAGUCCCCUUCUACAUGUCAAUACCGACAACAAUGAAAUUUAUAGUAAGAGGAAAAUCCGUUGACUUUAAAAAUCGUGAGGGUUCAAGUCCCUCUAUCCCCACGCAAGCCUAUUUUACUCUCAAAAUAUUUAUCCUACCCUAUACCUUGCGGUUACAAAUUGCUUUAUUUUUCUAAUUCUUUGACAAACGUAGCUGAGAGUAAAUGACUUUUUCUUCUCCUACGUGAUAUAGAAUACACAUCCAAUCCAAAUUGAGCAAAGAAUCCCUAUUUAAAUGAUUCACAAUCAAUAGCUUUACGAAUACUGAAACUGAAAAAGUUGUCUUUUUGAAGAUCAAAGAAAUUAAAGUACUUGGGGAAACAUUUGUAAUCUACCCCCUCCCUUUAAUUGACAUAGACCUCAGCGAUCGACUAAAAUCAUAAAAUGAGUAUGGGUUACUACGCAAGGAAUGGUCGGGAUAGCUCAGCUGUAGAGC